Molecule: small nuclear RNA, 104 nt
Organism: Rhineura floridana
Lineage: Eukaryota; Metazoa; Chordata; Lepidosauria; Squamata; Rhineuridae
Source: RefSeq, a predicted model, not a curated record
GUGCUUGCGUUGGCAGCAUAUAUACUAAAAUUGGAAUGAUACAGAGAUGAUUAGCCAUGUGCUUUCAGAUGAAGAUAAAACAUGGUUAGGUUCUCAAGUUCUUU